Molecule: RNA transcript, 1027 nt
Organism: Salvia miltiorrhiza (redroot sage)
Lineage: Eukaryota; Viridiplantae; Streptophyta; Magnoliopsida; Lamiales; Lamiaceae
Exons: 7
Source: RefSeq, a predicted model, not a curated record
UUGUGUAUUAAAACUCCUUAUUACAUAAACUAAUACUUUUAUCAAAUUACUGCUCCUCCCUUUGCUCCCAUCCGCCGCCGCAGCCUGUCAUCCCCGACUGUCGCCCGCCACCGCCCGAUACCCCCGCUGCCGUCGCCUCCUCAUCAGCUCGGCGCCUCCAUGAUUCUCCUUCUCUCUUCUUCGACGAACAGCUGCUCGACGAGUGCUCGCCUCAAACAGCCGCACCCGCACAGGCACACACAAGCGAGCGCGCCUCCAUCGUCGCUCGCCGUCCGCCACCAUCGAUGUCAGCAUCAGCAGCAAGCGCUAUCGCCACCUCUGUCACCUCCAUCCAACGGCAGUCACCGGCCCAGCCAGAGGUUUCUGAUUGAUACUUUGGAAACAAAGCUUGGUCUGAGAAAUAUGGCAUUGCUUGGAACUAGGCUCCUGUUGAUAAACUACAUUGGUUCUGUUGCAGUAGCAAUUUACUUACCUCAGGCACUUUAUGUUUUGAGUUAUUAAUGGAGGUCAACACAAAGGCAAUACAUAGGCAUUAUCUUCGUGUUGCUCACAUUGCAGAUUGUGUGAUAGAUACAUUCCUUAAUCCUAAGUGAAUAAAGAAAAAAAGUGUUGGAUCAUCUUUGAUGUUGGGCGUAGAAAGUCAAUGGGCUCCUAUUGCUCUUCGUUGUAUGAAUGGGCAUGUGGGAUUUAUGCUUUCGUGUUAUGACGCACAAUUAAGCUAUGGUUCAACCUCAGACAAUUUUGUUGCUAAAUAUAAAAACCUUCUAUACAAGAAUCUCCUAAGUACUCUUGCUGUACAUGGAUCUAUUGAGUGGUGUUGACAUGGACAGAGUUAGUUUCGUAAGGUGUUGUAUGGGCAUAUUGGUUUAUGGUAGUUUUUUUUUAAUGUUAUUUUUGUUUUCUUUUGACUUCAGAUAGAACUAUUGUACUUAGCAUUUUGAUUAUCUUCGGAUGAGAAUUUUAUUACAAUGUUUAUUUUAGUACAAUGUUUGGAUGAUUAAUUAUUUAUAUAAUAUAUGUUUUAGAU